Gossypium arboreum is the source of this 329-nucleotide long non-coding RNA. RefSeq lists it as uncharacterized. The record is from RefSeq and is a predicted model, not a curated record. The transcript has 2 exons. Lineage: Eukaryota; Viridiplantae; Streptophyta; Magnoliopsida; Malvales; Malvaceae.
CUAUUUUGGGCCAUGUAGGCCACAUGGGCUAGGCAAUUUGAGUCGUGUGGGCCCAAAACUCAGGAUUUUUUCCUAGGGUCGUACACGUCGUCUUGAUCAACUAUGGGCCUUCCAUGGGGUAACCUCCAGACUUAGGCGGGUCGGUGCGACAUGAGCUCAGUUAUAUCCACAUAUUCGUAAACUCAAUUUAUUUAAAUUUGACUUAUUCAAAAUUCUGGUUUGAGAGUUUUGUGAAUUUUUUACUCUCUGGAUAUUUGGGGCUAUUUUUUGGUUUUGGAUUUUAUUUUGGAUUUUUUUCGUGUGAUAUUGAUAAAACAAUUUAUUGAAAA